AAGUUAAAAAAUCUAAGUGUCUGCAAAACAGGAAGAAGUCUUUGCAGAGGAAAUUGAAUACUGUCUGAUGCUACAAUUCAUAUGGACCCUUUCCUGGAUUGAAGCUUGACUUUUUUAAAAAAGGUUUCAAUAAAUUGCUUAUACCUAUGAAGAGAUGCAAAAGAACCUUCAAAAUAAAGCAAAGGACUUGAAGAAAGAGAAGGAAGACAUGAAGAAGAGGAUGUCAUUUAGGUGAAGUUGUAUCAGCUCUGUGCGGUCACAUGGGUACCUACGAAUCAAAGCACCCAUCAACCAGAUGCAUCUCUGAGAGUUAACAGUAGAAGGUGGCAUAAUAAAAGAAGUUCUCGGUGGUGAAAAAGGGCCAUGCUGGAUAAGGAACUGGCUGCCUCUGUGAACAUCCUACUCAAGGCAUCUUCACUGCUGUACAUCCUUUUGAAAUCCCAGAGGUCUUCAGUCUCCCUGUGGAUUAAGGAGAUGUGCAGUAUUUAAAGUAGCUUCAGGAAGGCAUGGAAGAGGACUGAGUGCGGAAAGCUUUUUGUGCAUGCUGCUGGCCACCUCCAGCGGCUGCCUCCAGCCUCCAUCAGCUGCACUCUGGGGAAGAGGAGGCUGCCUUCUACCUCUCAGCAUCUCUGGAUUUCAUGUUCCUGUCAGCACAGAGGAGCUAAAUGGCCUUUAGAGG
RNAcentral lists this small RNA (679 nucleotides) under Pongo abelii (Sumatran orangutan). Its description in RNAcentral is "processed transcript". Lineage: Eukaryota; Metazoa; Chordata; Mammalia; Primates; Hominidae. The record is from RNAcentral.